CCUCACCCUACUGCCCAACGGGGCCUUCUCCAACCUAUACGUCCUUCAAGAGCUCAGGCUAGCAGGAAACUGCCUGACCGACAUCCCUGAAGGGGCUUUCUCUGGCCUCUUCAAUCUCAAAGUACUAAUGCUCCAAAACAAUCAUCUAUGGCAAGUUCCUGGUGAUGCCCUUC
Long non-coding RNA from Coregonus clupeaformis (lake whitefish), 173 nucleotides. RefSeq lists it as uncharacterized. NCBI's taxonomy places the organism in Eukaryota, Metazoa, Chordata, Actinopteri, Salmoniformes, Salmonidae. The record is from RefSeq and is a predicted model, not a curated record. The transcript is spliced from 3 exons.